UACGGAGGGCGCAAGCGGUGUCCGGAAUUACUGGGCGUAAAGCGCGUGUAGGUGGCUUGGAAAGUCGGGUGUGAAAUCCCGGAGCUCAACCCCGGAACUGCAUCCGAUACUGCGAAGCUCGAGUCUCGGAGAGGAUAGCGGAAUUUCCGGUGUAGAGGUGAAAUUCGUAGAUAUCGGAAGGAACACCAGUGGCGAAGGCAGCCGUCUGGACGAUGUGUGACACUGAGACGCGAAAGCGUGGGGAGCAAACAGG
RNAcentral lists this ribosomal RNA (253 nucleotides) under uncultured bacterium. RNAcentral's name for it is "partial 16S ribosomal RNA". It matches the Rfam family "Bacterial small subunit ribosomal RNA", at positions 524 to 776 of the family's 1533-position model. The record is from RNAcentral.